This 271-nucleotide ribosomal RNA is filed under the name uncultured archaeon. RNAcentral describes it as "partial 16S ribosomal RNA". It matches the Rfam family "Archaeal small subunit ribosomal RNA", at positions 477 to 747 of the family's 1478-position model. The record is from RNAcentral.
CGGCGCCACAAGUGGCAAUCGCGUUUAUUGGGUCUAAAGCGUUCGUAGCCGGUUUAAUAAAUCUUUUGUGAAAUUGUUCUGCUCAACGGAACAGCGUGCAGAAGACACUGUUAAACUUGGAACCGGAAGGGGUUAGAAGUAUUUCAGGGGGAGCGGUAAAAUGUUAUAAUCCCUGAAAGACUACCAAUGGCGAAGGCAUCUAACCAGUACGGAUUCGACGGUGAGGAACGAAGGCCAGGGGAGCGAACCGGAUUAGAUACCCGAGUAGUCC